GGAAGGGUCGCAUAGUCUGGCCUAGUGCGCACGAUUGGAAAUCGUGUAGGCGGUAAAACGUCUCGAGGGUUCGAAUCCCUCCCCUUCCG
This 89-nucleotide transfer RNA is filed under the name Chloroflexota bacterium. RNAcentral describes it as "tRNA-Ser". It matches the Rfam family "tRNA". From Rfam's summary of the family: Transfer RNA (tRNA) molecules are approximately 80 nucleotides in length. Their secondary structure includes four short double-helical elements and three loops (D, anti-codon, and T loops). The record is from RNAcentral. RNAcentral also lists the same sequence under 2 other names. Lineage: Bacteria; Bacillati; Chloroflexota.